AUUGAACGCUGGCGGCAGGCCUAACACAUGCAAGUCGAGCGGUAGCACAGGGAGCUUGCUCCUGGGUGACGAGCGGCGGACGGGUGAGUAAUGUCUGGGAAACUGCCUGAUGGAGGGGGAUAACUACUGGAAACGGUAGCUAAUACCGCAUAACGUCGCAAGACCAAAGAGGGGGACCUUCGGGCCUCUUGCCAUCAGAUGUGCCCAGAUGGGAUUAGCUAGUAGGUGGGGUAACGGCUCACCUAGGCGACGAUCCCUAGCUGGUCUGAGAGGAUGACCAGCCACACUGGAACUGGGACACGGUCCAGACUCCUACGGGAGGCAGCAGUGGGGAAUAUUGCACAAUGGGCGCAAGCCUGAUGCAGCCAUGCCGCGUGUAUGAAGAAGGCCUUCGGGUUGUAAAGUACUUUCAGCGGGGAGGAAGGUGUUGAGGUUAAUAACCUCAGCAAUUGACGUUACCCGCAGAAGAAGCACCGGCUAACUCCGUGCCAGCCGCCGCAGUAA
RNAcentral lists this ribosomal RNA (504 nucleotides) under uncultured bacterium. Its description in RNAcentral is "partial 16S ribosomal RNA". It matches the Rfam family "Bacterial small subunit ribosomal RNA", at positions 30 to 523 of the family's 1533-position model. The record is from RNAcentral.